UUAAAGUUUGAUUCUUUCUUAAGUCUUUAUAGUUUUUAUUAAAAUUGUAUGAGAAUUGUUGUGUGUAAUUGUUUAUGGGAGUUUGAGAUUUCAUAUAUUAGUUGUUUUAAAGAAUGACAUGUCUAUAAAAGAUAAAGUCUCAGCAUGUAGUAUUAAACAAUAUACUAGUGUGUGAUUUAGUAAUAAUUUAAGAUCUGAUUAAGUAUUGUGCCAGCAUUCGCGGUUAGACUUUAAGAUUAAGUAAAGAUAUAUUGGUUUUUAGUUAAAUAAGUUGUAUAGUUAUGAGUUAAGUUUAGGAGAGUAAAGGGUGAAAUCGGAUUGUUUUUUUUAAAUGGUGGAUCAUUAACUAAAGUUGAAGCUAAAAAUUUCUAGAUUUAAACUAGGAUUAGAUACCCUACUAUACUAGAAUAAAAUUUAUUAAUAGCCUGAUUAUUAUUAGAUAUAAUCUUAAAUAAAAGAAUUUGGCGGUGGUUUAGUCUUGUCAGAGGAACCUGUUUUUUAAUCGAUAAUCCACGUAAGAUCUUACUUGUUUUUGUUUUAGUUUGUAUACCGUCAUUAGCAGAUAAUUUUAAAAGAGAUAAUUAUUAUAGUCGAAUAUUGAGUUGAUAAAAUUAGAUCGAGGUGCAGCUUAUAAGCAAGUUAAAAUGGGUUACAAUAAAGUUUGUUUACAAUGGAAUAAACAGAGAAGUUUGGGUAUGAAGGAGGAUUUGAUUGUAAUGUGGGUUUAAUAUGCCUACAAGAUAUAAGCUCUAAAUCAUGUACAUAUCGCCCGUCGCUUUCAUUAUAUAGAUGAGAUAAGUCGUAACAUAGUAGGUUUACUGGAAAGUGAACCUAGAUUAA
Molecule: non-coding RNA, 840 nt
Filed under: Austinograea rodriguezensis
Lineage: Eukaryota; Metazoa; Arthropoda; Malacostraca; Decapoda; Bythograeidae
Description: 12S ribosomal RNA
Rfam family: Microsporidia small subunit ribosomal RNA (bases 431-834)
Source: RNAcentral